UGUUCCCAUAGUUAAAUGGAUAUAACAAGCGCCUCCUAAGCACUAGUUGAGGGUUCGAUUCCCCCUGGGAACGU
This 74-nucleotide transfer RNA is filed under the name uncultured Clostridium sp. Its description in RNAcentral is "tRNA-Arg(cct)". It matches the Rfam family "tRNA". From Rfam's summary of the family: Transfer RNA (tRNA) molecules are approximately 80 nucleotides in length. Their secondary structure includes four short double-helical elements and three loops (D, anti-codon, and T loops). The record is from RNAcentral. Lineage: Bacteria; Bacillati; Bacillota; Clostridia; Eubacteriales; Clostridiaceae.